CGGAGGGUGCAAACGUUGCUCGGAAUCAUUGGGCGUAAAGCGAACGUAGGCGGCUAUGUAAGUCGGGUGUGAAAGCCCAGAGCUCAACUCUGGAAGUGCAUUCGAAACUGCAUGGCUUGAGUAGCGGAGAGGAUAGCGGAAUUCCCGGUGUAGAGGUGAAAUUCGUAGAUAUCGGGAGGAACACCAGUGGCGAAGGCGGCUAUCUGGACGCAUACUGACGCUGAAGUUCGAAAGCGUGGGGAGCAAACAGGAUUAGAUACCCUGGUAGUCCACGCCGUAAACGAUGAGUGCUAGGUGUCGCGGGUAUUGACCCCUGCGGUGCCGCAGUUAACGCAUUAAGCACUCCGCCUGGGGAGUACGGUCGCAAGACUA
This 372-nucleotide ribosomal RNA is filed under the name uncultured organism. RNAcentral's name for it is "bacterial SSU rRNA". It matches the Rfam family "Bacterial small subunit ribosomal RNA", at positions 526 to 896 of the family's 1533-position model. The record is from RNAcentral.